GACGAACGCUGGAGGCGGGCUCAACACAUGCAAGUCGAACGGAAAGGCCCUGCGUUUGUGGGGUGCUCGAGUGGCGAACGGGUGAGUAACACGUGAGUACCCUGCCCUCGUCUUUGGGAUAACUUCAGGAAACUGGGGCUAAUACCGGAAAGGAGCUCCUGCUGCAUGGUGGGGGUGGGAAAGUUUCGGCGGUUGGGGAUGGACGCGCGGCUUCUCAGCUUCUUGGCGGGGUAGUGGCUUACCAAGUCUUUCACGGGUAGCCGGCCUGAGAGGGUGACCGGCCACAUUGAGACUGAGAUACGGCCCAGACUCCUACGGGAGGCAACAGUGGGGAGUAUUGCACAAUGGGCGGAAGCCUGAUGCAGCAACGCCGCGUGCGGGAUAACGGCCGUCGGGUUGUAAACCGCUUGCGCCUGUGACGAAGCGUGUGUGACGGUAAUGGGUAAUGAAGCACCGGCUAACUACGUG
This 468-nucleotide ribosomal RNA is filed under the name uncultured bacterium. RNAcentral's name for it is "partial 16S ribosomal RNA". It matches the Rfam family "Bacterial small subunit ribosomal RNA", at positions 28 to 507 of the family's 1533-position model. The record is from RNAcentral.